UACGAAGGGGGCGAGCGUUGUUCGGAAUUACUGGGCGUAAAGGGCGCGCAGGCGGCUCUGCAAGUCAGAUGUGAAAGCCCCGGGCUUAACCUGGGAAUUGCAUUUGAUACUCUGGAGCUUGAGUGUGGGAGAGGAGAGUGGAAUUCCCAGUGUAGAGGUGAAAUUCGUAGAUAUUGGGAAGAACACCGGUGGCGAAGGCGGCUCUCUGGACCACAACUGACGCUGAGGCGCGAAAGCGUGGGGGGCAAACAGG
Molecule: ribosomal RNA, 253 nt
Filed under: uncultured bacterium
Lineage: Bacteria
Description: partial 16S ribosomal RNA
Rfam family: Bacterial small subunit ribosomal RNA
Source: RNAcentral